AUAAACCCUACCUUUUGACAAAUUUGCUGUACAAGUUAAAAGUAAUUAAUCAGUCAGCGUGAUAUCAGUCAAUCCUUUGAUCGAUAUUUAUAAUGUUGAAUGAUUU
Molecule: long non-coding RNA, 106 nt
Organism: Haliotis rubra (blacklip abalone)
Lineage: Eukaryota; Metazoa; Mollusca; Gastropoda; Lepetellida; Haliotidae
Exons: 3
Source: RefSeq, a predicted model, not a curated record